CUUGCCUCCCAGACCACCAAAGACCACAACGUAAGCGAACCAGUACUCGCACUCUCGACGGUAAUGGGGCGGCCGGGGGCCUAAAAUUUUCGACUUUCUUCGCUCGAGACCCUUGCUUUAUUGGCAUAUUAAAAAAACAUUUAGAUCACGCACAUAGUGCGAUAAAAAGAAAAUAAAAAAAACAACUACAGAUAAGCCUUUUGAAUAUAAAAGAAAAAAAUAAAGACAGCUGCGGAAUCUCUUUUGUAAGUGGGCUCCUUUGGCCUGCAAGAACUUGUUUCAUCCGCCAGGCGGCCUGUUGGCGGUGGGUUCGUAGUGUUAUCAACUCUUCUCUCCCCAUCUCCUUCUCUCAAACAGAGGGCUUCCCCGUCCUCGGAUAUCUCAUCAAACCUCGUCCUAUUCUUCCUGAUUUCAUCUUCCAUACCAUCUGGAAUUGAAACUUUGGUUGAUAAUACAGGAUCAGCAAAGUUCAAGCCGCAUACCUCCUCCUCCUCCUGCUGCUCUUGCUUUCUCUUGCGGCCAGCCUCCCUUGCAGUUCUUUCCUCCACCUGGGCUUGCAGAACCUCCUACUGACACCUGUCGAUCACGUCCUCCAAAUCAUAAGCCACGUCCUCGAGCUCCUUCAACCAGAGCUUGACGACUGUCUCUUGUUUCCCUUUCCUCUGCAUCAUGGAGGACAGCUCGGAUCCGCUGCAGCAUCCUCUGCAGCUGCUUGAAUUGCUCUAAAAAUCCAAUCUGCGGAUCUGAUGAGGAUGAUGGCGAUGCUGAACUCCGCAAGUUGGUCAACAAAU
Molecule: long non-coding RNA, 791 nt
Filed under: Phoenix dactylifera (date palm)
Lineage: Eukaryota; Viridiplantae; Streptophyta; Magnoliopsida; Arecales; Arecaceae
Description: long non-coding RNA (PDAC_LNC015932)
Source: RNAcentral